UUUAGUCAGGCAACGAGCGAGACCUGUGCACACAAUUGCUAACGGGUUAGCGAUAACGACCGAGCACAUUGUGUGGACUGCUCCAGAAAUGGAGAGGAAGGCGCAGGCAACGGUAGGUCUGUAUGCUCCGAAUCUUCUGGGCUACACGCGCGCAACAAUGGUAGGUACAAUGGGCUGCAACACCGAAAGGUGAAGCUAAUCCUCGAAAACCUACCCUAGUUCAGAUUGUGGGUUGCGACUCACCCACAUGACGUUGGAAUCCCUAGUAAUCAGGCUUUAGCAGAGCCCGGUGAAUAUGUCCCUGCUCCUUGCACA
RNAcentral lists this ribosomal RNA (315 nucleotides) under uncultured euryarchaeote. RNAcentral describes it as "bacterial SSU rRNA". It matches the Rfam family "Archaeal small subunit ribosomal RNA", at positions 1029 to 1343 of the family's 1478-position model. Lineage: Archaea; Methanobacteriati; Methanobacteriota. The record is from RNAcentral.